Molecule: long non-coding RNA, 870 nt
Organism: Myotis lucifugus (little brown bat)
Lineage: Eukaryota; Metazoa; Chordata; Mammalia; Chiroptera; Vespertilionidae
Exons: 3
Source: RefSeq, a predicted model, not a curated record
GGAGCCGGCCUUUUAAGCUCCGCGACCUUAUCUCUGAUACCUCAGCCGCCUGGCCUGAAGCGAAGCUGUCUUGUCGGGGAAGAGAGUGGUCACGGUGUCGCGUGGUAACAAAGCUUAGGACAGGAGAACCUACAUGAGAAAGGACGUCCUCCGGUGUCUCCCAUCAGGAUAAAGCAGCAUUUGUUAUGCACAUACCGCCCUGUGCAGAAGUGAGGGAAGACUGCUGCAGAAGUGAAUACAGGCAACAUCUUUGAUCCCAGGGCACAGGUCUUUGAGAGGAAAUCUCCAAGCCUCUCGAGGAGGCAUUAGAAGGCUAUCCAGGCAGCAAAAGUACCUCAGGAUCAUGGCUGAUAAAUACCAGGAGAUCGGUGGCAUCCAUUUCUCUUUUCCCUUCACACCCUAUUCCACCCAGAAAGACUUCAUGACAGUGCUGUACCAGUUGUUGGAGGAUGGCAAGAUUGGGAUAUUUGAGAUUCCUAUUGGCACUGUAAGUAUGAACAGUUGCCCCAAGAGGGCUCUUGGGAGACCUUGAUUACAACUAGUCAGAGGUUUAUUUGCCUCUGCAGAGAUUUUCAUGGUUUGGAGUUGGGCAAAGUAGUUUUCUCAGUUUACCUUUCUGAGUAAUGCUCACUUCCCUCUAUUAAAUUGUUAAACACAACCCCGGGUUCUAAGGAAAAUUCGGCUACAGGCAAAGGAGAAUUUGAAUGGCAGUGGUUCUCCUUUAGGGAGCAACAUAGAAAUUUAUUGCCCUGCCAGGUUGGGCUCAGUUGGUUGAGCAUUGUCCCAUGUACCAGGAGGUUACUGGUUUGAUUCCCGGUCAGGGCACGUGCCUGGUUUGUGGGUUGAACCCCAGUAGGGGCAUGCAGAAGA